RNAcentral lists this ribosomal RNA (253 nucleotides) under uncultured archaeon. RNAcentral describes it as "partial 16S ribosomal RNA". It matches the Rfam family "Archaeal small subunit ribosomal RNA", at positions 474 to 727 of the family's 1478-position model. The record is from RNAcentral.
AACCAGCACCUCAAGUGGUCAGGAUGAUUAUUGGGCCUAAAGCAUCCGUAGCCGGCUCUGUAAGUUUUCGGUUAAAUCUAUGCGCUCAACGUAUGGGCUGCCGAAAAUACUGUAGAGAUAGGGAGUGGGAGAGGUAGACGGUACUCGGUAGGAAGGGGUAAAAUCCUUUGAUCUAUCGAUGACCACCUGUGGCGAAAGCGGCUCUCUGGCCUGCAACUGACGCUGAGGCGCGAAAGCUAGGGGAGCGAACGGG